RNAcentral lists this ribosomal RNA (481 nucleotides) under uncultured bacterium. RNAcentral describes it as "partial 16S ribosomal RNA". It matches the Rfam family "Bacterial small subunit ribosomal RNA", at positions 28 to 523 of the family's 1533-position model. The record is from RNAcentral.
GACGAACGCUGGCGGCGUGCUUAACACAUGCAAGUCGAACGGUGACGGAGAGCUUGCUCUCCUGAUCAGUGGCGAACGGGUGAGUAACACGUGGGCAACCUGCCCCAGACUUCGGGAUAACGCUUCGAAAGAGGUGCUAAUACCGGAUACGAACUCCUUGGGCAUCCUUGGAGUUGGAAAGUUUCUCGGUCUGGGAUGGGCCCGCGGCCUAUCAGCUUGUUGGUGAGGUAACGGCUCACCAAGGCGACGACGGGUAGCCGGCCUGGGAGGGCGACCGGCCACACUGGGACUGAGACACGGCACAGACUCCUACUGGAGGCAGCAGUGGGGAAUAUUGCGUAAUGGGCGAAAGCCUGACGCAGCAACGCCGCGUGAGGGAUGACGGCCUUCGGGUUGUAAACCUCUUUCAGCAGGGAAGAAGCGAAAGUGACGGUACCUGCAGAAGAAGCACCGGCUAACUACGUGCCAGCCGCCGCCGUAA